UACGUAGGUGGCAAGCGUUGUCCGGAAUUAUUGGGCGUAAAGCGCGCGCAGGCGGUCCUUUAAGUCUGAUGUGAAAUCACGUGGCUCAACCACGUGCGGUCAUUGGAAACUGGAGGACUUGAGUGCAGAAGAGGAAAGUGGAAUUCCAAGUGUAGCGGUGAAAUGCGUAGAGAUUUGGAGGAACACCAGUGGCGAAGGCGACUUUCUGGUCUGUAACUGACGCUGAGGCGCGAAAGCGUGGGGAGCAAAC
Molecule: ribosomal RNA, 250 nt
Filed under: uncultured bacterium
Lineage: Bacteria
Description: partial 16S ribosomal RNA
Rfam family: Bacterial small subunit ribosomal RNA
Source: RNAcentral